GAUGAACGCUGGCGGCGUGCCUAAUACAUGCAAGUCGAGCGAACAGACGAGGAGCUUGCUCCUCUGACGUUAGCGGCGGACGGGUGAGUAACACGUGGAUAACCUACCUAUAAGACUGGGAUAACUUCGGGAAACCGGAGCUAAUACCGGAUAAUAUAUUGAACCGCAUGGUUCAAUAGUGAAAGACGGUUUUGCUGUCACUUAUAGAUGGAUCCGCGCCGCAUUAGCUAGUUGGUAAGGUAACGGCUUACCAAGGCAACGAUGCGUAGCCGACCUGAGAGGGUGAUCGGCCACCCUGGAACGGAGACACGGUCCAGACUCCUACGGGAGGCAGCAGUAGGGAAUCUUCCGCAAUGGGCGAAAGCUUGACGGAGCAACGCCGCGUGAGUGAGGAAGGUCUUCGGAUCGUAAACCUCUGUUAUUAGGAAAGAACAAAUGUGUAAGUAACUAUGCACGUCUUGACGGUACCUAAUCAGAAAGCCACGGCUAACUACGUG
Molecule: ribosomal RNA, 497 nt
Filed under: uncultured bacterium
Lineage: Bacteria
Description: partial 16S ribosomal RNA
Rfam family: Bacterial small subunit ribosomal RNA
Source: RNAcentral